This is a long non-coding RNA of Ipomoea triloba (trilobed morning glory), 417 nucleotides long. RefSeq lists it as uncharacterized. Lineage: Eukaryota; Viridiplantae; Streptophyta; Magnoliopsida; Solanales; Convolvulaceae. The transcript is spliced from 3 exons. The record is from RefSeq and is a predicted model, not a curated record.
UUUUCCGCCGGGAGUGGGGCCGGAACUGGCCGUUCCUAGUCGGCUUCGCCAUCACCGGCGCCGUCAUCACCAAGAUGUCCCUCGGUCUCACUGAGGAGGACGCUAAGAACUCUAAAUUCGCGCAGAGGCACAAAAAGUGAUUUUAGGCUCAAAGACCAUGCUGGAUAAGGCAUUUGCACCUGGGACAGCUGCACUUUUCUUUUUUCAUUUCCUCUGUUUUCUAUUGUUUCUAAACUAAUCAGACGAUGCUGAUUUCAUAAAGCAUCCCUAGAGCUUUUGGUGGAUGCAAAACUUUGCUUUGGCCUAUAAAGAAAUUUGGGAACUGUUAAUUAGAAGAGUGUUUUCUCUCCCCUUCUGCUCUGUAAUGAGCUUCAAACGCAAAUAUUUAAAAUACUGAUUUCUGUUUUCCAUGUUAAA